CCCUUAGAUGUUCUGGGCUGCACGCGCGCUACACUGAUACGUUCAACAAGUGUAACCUCCGCCGGCGGGUACUGGGGGAAAUCUUUUGAAAGCGUAUCGUGAUGGGGAUAGAUUAUUGUAAUUAUUAGUCUUCAACGAGGAAUUCCUAGUAAGCUCGGGUCAACAGCUCGUGCUGAUUACGUCCCUGCCCUUUGUACACACCGCCCGUCGCACCUACCGAUUGAAUGGUCCGGUGAAAUCUCGGGACGGCGGCUUGGUCGCUUGCGUCCGACUGCUGAAACUUGAUUAAACCAUAUCAUUUAGAGGAAGGUGAAGUCGUAACA
RNAcentral lists this ribosomal RNA (323 nucleotides) under uncultured eukaryote. RNAcentral's name for it is "partial 18S ribosomal RNA". It matches the Rfam family "Eukaryotic small subunit ribosomal RNA", at positions 1470 to 1796 of the family's 1831-position model. The record is from RNAcentral.